Mytilus trossulus (common blue mussel) is the source of this 358-nucleotide long non-coding RNA. RefSeq lists it as uncharacterized. Lineage: Eukaryota; Metazoa; Mollusca; Bivalvia; Mytilida; Mytilidae. The record is from RefSeq and is a predicted model, not a curated record. The transcript is spliced from 3 exons.
GUUUGAUCUUUACAUGGACAAAGACUUGCAUUAGUUCCUACAAAAUUUUUGAAGACAUACAAAAGUUUAAAGUUUCAUGACAAGUUUAAGUUCUCUGAUUCUAGGAACUUGGAGUCAUUUUAAUUGGUAUUAGAUGGGAAAACCAGACACUAUAGCCAUUAUAUAGAUUUUCAACAAUGCCAGACUCAGAGUAUAUACAGUCAGGACAAAAAGAAUUUACAAGACUAUCCACAACCCUCUCAUCUUGAUGAAUUGUUAAACCACAGAAACUUAAAGAAGACCUACAGAUAACCUAGGAUGUACAAUAUAAAGAACACCUACAGAAACCUAGGCUGCAUAGUAUAUACCACAAUGUAAA